GACAGCAGUCGCCACGGGAAUACAGAGGGUGCGAGCGUUAAUCGGAUUUACUGGGCGUAAAGCGUGCGUAGGCGGCUUUUUAAGUCGGAUGUGAAAUCCCUGAGCUUAACUUAGGAAUUGCAUUCGAUACUGGGAAGCUAGAGUAUGGGAGAGGAUGGUAGAAUUCCAGGUGUAGCGGUGAAAUGCGUAGAGAUCUGGAGGAAUACCGAUGGCGAAGGCAGCCAUCUGGCCUAAUACUGACGCUGAGGUACGAAAGCAUGGGGAGCAAACAGGAUUAGAUACCCCGGUAGUCCCUGUCUCUUAUAC
Molecule: ribosomal RNA, 306 nt
Filed under: uncultured bacterium
Lineage: Bacteria
Description: partial 16S ribosomal RNA
Rfam family: Bacterial small subunit ribosomal RNA
Source: RNAcentral